RNAcentral lists this ribosomal RNA (467 nucleotides) under uncultured bacterium. Its description in RNAcentral is "bacterial SSU rRNA". It matches the Rfam family "Bacterial small subunit ribosomal RNA", at positions 355 to 825 of the family's 1533-position model. The record is from RNAcentral.
UAGGGAAUAUUGGACAAUGGGUGAGAGCCUGAUCCAGCCAUGCCGCGUGCAGGAAGAAGGCGUUAUGCGUUGUAAACUGCUUUUUGCCAGGGGAUAAAAAGACCGUGCGCGGUUAAUUGAAGGUACCUGGUGAAUAAGCCACGGCUAACUACGUGCCAGCAGCCGCGGUAAUACGUAGGCGGCAAGCGUUGUCCGGAUUUAUUGGGUUUAAAGGGUGCGUAGGUGGCCCUGUAAGUCAGUGGUGAAAUAUCUCAGCUUAACUGAGAGGGUGCCAUUGAUACUGCAGGGCUUGAGUACAGAUGAGGUAGGCGGAAUUGACGGUGUAGCGGUGAAAUGCAUAGAUAUCGUCAAGAACACCGAUAGCGAAGGCAGCUUACCAAGCUGUAACUGACACUGAGGCACGAAAGUGUGGGGAUCAAACAGGAUUAGAUACCCCCGUAGUCCCUGAGCGGGCUGGCAAGGCGCAU